RNAcentral lists this ribosomal RNA (1198 nucleotides) under Listeria monocytogenes. RNAcentral describes it as "bacterial LSU rRNA". It matches the Rfam family "Bacterial large subunit ribosomal RNA", at positions 387 to 1583 of the family's 2925-position model. Lineage: Bacteria; Bacillati; Bacillota; Bacilli; Caryophanales; Listeriaceae. The record is from RNAcentral.
GCUUUCCCUCCAGAGUGGAUCCUGAGUACGGCGGAACACGUGAAAUUCCGUCGGAAUCCGGGAGGACCAUCUCCCAAGGCUAAAUACUCCCUAGUGACCGAUAGUGAACCAGUACCGUGAGGGAAAGGUGAAAAGCACCCCGGAAGGGGAGUGAAACAGUUCCUGAAACCGUGUGCCUACAAGUAGUUAGAGCCCGUUAAUGGGUGAUAGCGUGCCUUUUGUAGAAUGAACCGGCGAGUUACGAUUUGUUGCAAGGUUAAGCGGAAAAAGCGGAGCCGUAGCGAAAGCGAGUCUGAAUAGGGCGCAUAAGUAACAGGUCGUAGACCCGAAACCAGGUGAUCUACCCAUGUCCAGGAUGAAGGUAAGGUAAUACUUACUGGAGGUCCGAACCCACGCACGUUGAAAAGUGCGGGGAUGAGGUGUGGGUAGCGGAGAAAUUCCAAUCGAACUUGGAGAUAGCUGGUUCUCUCCGAAAUAGCUUUAGGGCUAGCCUCGAGGUAAAGAGUCAUGGAGGUAGAGCACUGUUUGGACUAGGGGCCCUUCUCGGGUUACCGAAUUCAGAUAAACUCCGAAUGCCAUGUACUUAUACUCGGGAGUCAGACUGCGAGUGAUAAGAUCCGUAGUCGAAAGGGAAACAGCCCAGACCACCAGUUAAGGUCCCCAAAUAUAUGUUAAGUGGAAAAGGAUGUGGGGUUGCUUAGACAACCAGGAUGUUGGCUUAGAAGCAGCCACCAUUGAAAGAGUGCGUAAUAGCUCACUGGUCGAGUGACCCCGCGCCGAAAAUGUACCGGGGCUAAACAUAUUACCGAAACUGUGGAUGAACCUCUUUAGAGGUUCGUGGUAGGAGAGCGUUCUAAGGGCGGUGAAGUCAGACCGGAAGGACUGGUGGAGCGCUUAGAAGUGAGAAUGCCGGUAUGAGUAGCGAAAGAAGGGUGAGAAUCCCUUCCACCGAAUAUCUAAGGUUUCCUGAGGAAGGCUCGUCCGCUCAGGGUUAGUCGGGACCUAAGCCGAGGCCGAUAGGCGUAGGCGAUGGACAACAGGUAGAGAUUCCUGUACCAGUGCUAAUUGUUUAACCGAUGGGGUGACACAGAAGGAUAGGGAAUCGCACGAAUGGAAAUGUGCGUCCAAGCAGUGAGUGUGAGAAGUAGGCAAAUCCGCUUCUCGCGAAGCAUGAGCUGUGAUGGGGAAGGAAAUUAAG